AUUCUUCGGAAAAGAAACCUUUAAUGAGAGCGGCGAACGGGUGAGUAAUAUAUGGGGUAAUUUGCCCCUAAGUUCGGGAUAGCUAUCGGAAACGAUAAGUAAUACCGAAUGUGAUCGACCAUUGCAUAGUGGUCUGUUUAAAGGCGGGGAAUCUUCGGAUCCUGUCGUUUAGGGAUAAGCCCAUACCCUAUCAGCUUGUUGGUGAGGCAACGGCUCACCAAGGCNCCGGGUANCUGGUCUGANAGGAUGGUCANCCACACUGGGACUGANACACUGCCCANACUCCUACNGNAGGCU
This 297-nucleotide ribosomal RNA is filed under the name uncultured bacterium. RNAcentral describes it as "partial 16S ribosomal RNA". It matches the Rfam family "Bacterial small subunit ribosomal RNA", at positions 64 to 349 of the family's 1533-position model. The record is from RNAcentral.